RNAcentral lists this long non-coding RNA (243 nucleotides) under Gossypium barbadense (sea-island cotton). RNAcentral describes it as "long non-coding RNA (GBAR_LNC012077)". The record is from RNAcentral. Lineage: Eukaryota; Viridiplantae; Streptophyta; Magnoliopsida; Malvales; Malvaceae.
GGGCGAUGGGGUAUGUACCCGCAGACCUAUUAGAUGGCAUGAGGAAUGCUAAGUGCCGGAACAACAUGAGCACUCAUGGACCUUUGACUCUAGGGAUGUUGUUGCCAAGUAUCUUCGAGGACUACAGUUGGAGCCAUGGAACUUUUUUAACAAGUAUGUGAGGCUUUCGGAUCGUAGGUAGCAAAUUCCUCUCGGGGCUCCACACAUGGUGCCCAUGUUGAAAACCAGACCUAAAAGAGCCAG